This 253-nucleotide ribosomal RNA is filed under the name uncultured bacterium. Its description in RNAcentral is "partial 16S ribosomal RNA". It matches the Rfam family "Bacterial small subunit ribosomal RNA", at positions 524 to 776 of the family's 1533-position model. The record is from RNAcentral.
UACGGGGGGGGUAAGCGUUGUUCGGAAUUACUGGGCGUAAAGGGCUCGUAGGCGGCCAACUAAGUCAGACGUGAAAUCCCUCAGCUUAACUGGGGAACUGCGUCUGAUACUGGAUGGCUUGGAUUCGGGAGAGGAAUGCGGAAUUCCAGGUGUAGCGGUGAAAUGCGUAGAUAUCAAGAGGAACACCUGCGGCGAAGGCGGGUUGCUGGGCCGACACUGACGCUGAGGCGCGAAAGCCAGGGGAGCGAACGGG